RNAcentral lists this ribosomal RNA (490 nucleotides) under uncultured bacterium. RNAcentral's name for it is "partial 16S ribosomal RNA". It matches the Rfam family "Bacterial small subunit ribosomal RNA", at positions 30 to 507 of the family's 1533-position model. The record is from RNAcentral.
AUUGAACGCUGGCGGCAGGCCUAACACAUGCAAGUCGAACGGUAACAGGAAGCAGCUUGCUGCUUUGCUGACGAGUGGCGGACGGGUGAGUAAUGUCUGGGAAACUGCCUGAUGGAGGGGGAUAACUACUGGAAACGGAAGCUAGUACCGCAUAACGUCGCAAGACCAAAGAGGGGGACCUUCGGGCCUCUUGCCAUCGGAUGUGCCCAGAUGGGAUUAGCUAGUAGGUGGGGUAACGGCUCACCUAGGCGACGAUCCCUAGCUGGUCUGAGAGGAUGACCAGCCACACUGGAACUGAGACACGGUCCAGACUCCUACGGGAGGCAGCAGUGGGGAAUAUUGCACAAUGGGCGCAAGCCUGAUGCAGCCAUGCCGCGUGUAUGAAGAAGGCCUUCGGGUUGUAAAGUACUUUCAGCGGGGAGGAAGGGAGUAAAGUUAAUACCUUUGCUCAUUGACGUUACCCGCAGAAGAAGCACCGGCUAACUCCGUG